CAGAUUUCUUUUUUACAAACCUUUUUUUUUAUCAAUAUAUAUUUGUUCUCAAUGUUUUGGCGUCAAACUGGAGGCAGUAGUGAAAAAAAGUUGAGUUUGCAAAGUUAAUUGAAAAUAAUGCCGUUCUUAAUGAGAUGCUUGUCUCAUGAAUUAGGCUAUUUUCUAUUGAACCAUUAAUUCUACUGUAUCUACUAGAAACUAGUGGACAAUAUGGACAAAGAUUUAAUAAAUUAAUACUGUACAGUAUAUGAAUAAAACAUUUCACAAGUUAUUCAAGUAAAUAUUACCAAAGUUAUGAUAGAUUGCUACAGAUUUUCUGUUAAUUCCCAAAUUUCUGGUAACCUUGGCAAAUUACAGGUACAUUUGCAACCGCAGCAUGUCACAGAUGGGAAGUUUAAAACACUAUAUAGGUGGCUAAGGGUUAUAAAAAGCAGACAUGAACAUUAUAAUCUAAUUGUAUGGUUGUGAUUGACUACUUAGCAUGCCACCUUUAAGGUAACCUGUCCUUCCCUAUUCCUCUGAGUACUAAGGAUGUAGUCUUAUCCUGUCCUAUAGGAACUAAAGAUGUAGUCUUAUCCUGUCCUAUAGGAACUAAAGAUGUAGUCUUAUCCUGUCCUAUAGGAACUAAAGAUGUAGUCUUAUCCUUUCUUAUAGGAACUAAAGAUGUAGUAUUAUCCUGUCCUAUAGGUACUAAAGAUGAAGUCUCUAUCCUGUCCUAUAGGAACUAAAGAUGUAGUCUUAUCCUGUCCUAUAGGUACUAAAGAUGUAGUCUUAUCCUGUCCUAUAGGAACUAAAGAUGUGGUCUUAUCCUGUCCUAUAGGUACUAAAGAUGUAGUCUUAUCCUGUCCUAUAGGAACUAAAGUCGUAGUCUUAUCCUGUCCUAUAGGAACUGAGGAUGUAGUCUUAUCCUGUCCUAUAGGAACUAAAGAUGUAGUCUUAUCCUGUCCUAUAGUUACUAAAGAUGUAGUCUUAUCCUGUCCUAUAGGAACUAAAGAUGUAGUCUUAUCCUGUCCUAUAGGUACUGAGGAUGUAGUCUUAUCCUGUCCUGUAGGUACUAAAGAUGCAGUCUUAUUCUGUCCUAUAGGUACUGAGGAUGUGGUCCUAAACCUCUGUCCUGCAACAGGCCCAGUAAUACUUAACAGAGGUCUUGGUACAUGACCUAGGUGAUCACAGGUCCAAGACCAUUACUCAACACUGUUGUACCCCGUGACAGAAGGACAGAGCAGUGUUGACUCAGUUUAACCUGUGUAAGAGAAACAUCUGUGAAACAGUGUCCUGUUCAGAGCUGUAGAUGGCAUGUUUAGCCCUGUUAAUGAGCAGGUCAUUCAUUUCACAUUUAUAAAAGAGGAGAGGAGAUGGAUGGAGCAAUUUACAGGUCUAUUAGUUGUGGAGGGCUGGAGGGAUGGAGGGAUGGAGGGAUGGGGGAAUGGAGGGAUGGAGGGAUGGAGGGCUGGAGGGAUGGAGGGCUGGAAGCCUGGAGGGAUGAAGGGAUGGGGGAAUGGAGGGAUGGAGGGAUGGAGGGC
Molecule: long non-coding RNA, 1523 nt
Filed under: Salmo salar (Atlantic salmon)
Lineage: Eukaryota; Metazoa; Chordata; Actinopteri; Salmoniformes; Salmonidae
Description: lncRNA (ENSSSAG00000103024.1)
Source: RNAcentral